UCAUUCCCUUGGCAGCUCCCAUUGCUAUCAACAGGGGUCCUGAUCAGAGGAUGAUAGUAGACUUGUGAUCUUCUGUGAAUUUAUGAACAGAGGAGGAAUCAUCAUAUGCUCUAAGGGCUGAAGUAUUUUGUCUGAAGGAAUUUUCCUUCUUUUGGAAGCCUCUGCUGUUUGGCUCAGCAUUUUCUCCUUUUUAAGCUCAAGCAAUGCAGUACAGAGCCAGGCUAGACACAAGAAAGGACCUUGGAGGGCUUCAAGUGGGAGACUGCAAUCAUAAAUCCUGGAGCUCCCAUUUGUGAGACCUGACCUCAAGUCCUCAGGAAUUGGCUUUAAUGGAAGAGCUGGACUAUAGGAUGAGUAAGAGGGUGGAGGAAGAGCCUAGAUGAAAGUACAAAUGG
Molecule: long non-coding RNA, 395 nt
Filed under: Monodelphis domestica (gray short-tailed opossum)
Lineage: Eukaryota; Metazoa; Chordata; Mammalia; Didelphimorphia; Didelphidae
Description: lncRNA (ENSMODG00000044014.1)
Source: RNAcentral